Molecule: non-coding RNA, 248 nt
Organism: Pelobates cultripes (western spadefoot toad)
Lineage: Eukaryota; Metazoa; Chordata; Amphibia; Anura; Pelobatidae
Source: the annotation of a GenBank genome assembly
AUCAUCCCCAUGAUAUCGCUGUACUCUGCCUCCUAGCUCCAUCAUCCCCAGGGUACAGCUGUACUCUGCCUCUAGCUCCAUCAUCCCCAGGAUAUCGCUGUACUCUGCCCCCUAGCUCCAUCAUCCCCAGGGUACAGCUGUACUCUGCCUCUAGCUCCAUCAUCCCCAGGAUAUCGCUGUACUCUUCCCCCUAGCUCCAUCAUCCCCAGGAUAUCGCUGUACUCUGCCCCCUAGCUCCAUCGUCCCCA